GACGAACGCUGGCGGCGUGCCUAAUACAUGCAAGUCGAACGCACUCUCGUUUAGAUUGAAGGAGCUUGCUCCUGAUUGAUAAACAUUUGAGUGAGUGGCGGACGGGUGAGUAACACGUGGGUAACCUGCCCUAAAGUGGGGGAUAACAUUUGGAAACAGAUGCUAAUACCGCAUAAAACCUAAACACCGCAUGGUGUAGGGUUGAAAGAUGGUUUCGGCUAUCACUUUAGGAUGGACCCGCGGUGCAUUAGUUAGUUGGUGAGGUAAAGGCUCACCAAGACCGUGAUGCAUAGCCGACCUGAGAGGGUAAUCGGCCACACUGGGUCUGAGACACGG
This 336-nucleotide ribosomal RNA is filed under the name uncultured bacterium. RNAcentral describes it as "bacterial SSU rRNA". It matches the Rfam family "Bacterial small subunit ribosomal RNA", at positions 28 to 329 of the family's 1533-position model. The record is from RNAcentral.